CUGGAAGCCCCGCCCCAUAGGCCCGCCUCUCGAGGCCCCGCCCAGUAGGCCCGCCCCUCGCACUUAAACCCCGCCCUCACUAGAAGCCCCGCCCCGCCUCGCCGCCCGCGAGGCCUCAGUCCCCGAGCGGUAGCCGCGCUGGAUCCCGGUGGCGGUCUCCGCGCGGCCGGAAGCCCACGCGGGCGGUGGUGGGGAGGGGCCGCGCGGGCCUGGGGAGGGGCAGCCCUCGGGGAGGUGGAAGCAGGGUCGGUGCACGGCGCUCCUUUGGGAACCCAGCCUGCUGCCUGACCGGAAAAGACCCCCGAGGACCACCUCCUCCUUCCCUCUGAGAGCAGAAAGGAAAAGGCUGCAGGCCUCCUCACCCCAGGUGUUAGCAGGACACCGGAAUCGAGCAGAGACGGGAGGGAGGGCGAGCGCUGACCCACGUCCCUCCCCAGCCCCCCUCAGGGGUCGCUUCUGGAAGCCCCCUCGGCAGAGCUCUUCGUCUGCCUUCCUUUGUAGGUGGCCGGGCGCCCAGGAUCGCAAGCCAUUUAGCACCUCUGGAGGUCAAAGCACUGUCUGCGAAGAGAAAUACACACGUGGCAAAGCCUCUGCCUAUCAAUCUGGAGGGAAACGCAAACACGCUGGGACCUGCCAGCCAGCCUGAUGGGAGCAGCAGCACCUGGGUGUGUGGACGCUUUCGUGAACACAGGAGGACAUCCCGGGAGGUAUCAGGGCAAAAAAGGCUACCAAAAUAAUAGAGUCAGAAGUGACUAUGGGUUGAAACCGUAGCACCCUUACUCCAAGGUUGGAAGAUUUUUGUGGAAAAUGAACAUAUUUUAUUAGAAGACAUGGAGGACUUCCUGGAGCAGGAUGGGCAAACACACCCUAGUGUUUACCUGAUAUUGGAAAGGAAAGUUUUCCUCCUGCCUCUGCAGCCUUGGGUGAAUGUGUAUGUGAAACACAGAUCACCGCUAAUGUGUCCCCAGUUCAGAUUUCUGCAUCUGCAAGUUCAGAAUUAUGGUGAUUUUGACAAGUGGCAUCACACCCAAAGCCAUCUUUUACCUCUUCUUUGCUGAUUGCUUACUAUCAAGACUCAGCUCAAAAAUCAUCUCCUGGUUGGAACUUUCCCCACCUUCCCGGGGAAAAAGGAAUGGCUCUGUGCUACAUGCUUCUGGGAAUGUCCAACAUGAAAAAUAAAAUUUUGAAAAAGUUGCGGGACAGUCAGUAGGGAAAACUUAAUAUAUGCUUAUAGUUGUCACAUUUAAAAUUUGUUAUUUGUCAACACUUUAAACGCAUUAAGGAAGAAUUGAAGAGAAUAGUGAAAAUUUAACACGACCCAAAGGAAAGUGUUAAAGGAGUAAGAGAUAGCUGGAAACUGUUUUUUAAAUUUGAAUUUUCAUUCCUGAUUUUUAUUGAAGUUAUGUUAACAAUCUCAGGCUUUAGAAGUUACUUAAAAACUGUUACCAAAUUAUAACAUUCAACAUAGAGUUAUAUCUUUAAAAAAUAGAAGCAUUCAAUUGAGAAAAAUAUAAAUAGAUAGGAGAGAUAAAAUAGUACUUUAAAUUUUAGGAGGUAGAUUCAUCUUUUAUGAUUCUUUUAUUUUCAUAAUGAAGUUUUUCACUCACUAGCCUAGCAUUAAUUACCAAACUCCAGAUAUACUAUCUACUAUGCUAAAAAAAAACAAAACUUAAGCUUUCACUGUAUAUUGAAACUUAUUAACAUUGUAAAGAUAAUUUUUUAAAUUGUAAUGACAAAUUACUUAUUAAAGUGAAAUGUGUCUUAAAUUUAAUGGACUUACAGCUAAAUAACAAAAUGUUUUCAAGUGUAACAAUUAAGAAAAAUGAAAUAUAAAAUUUUUAAAAGAUAUCUAUGAAGCAGUAUGAAUGCUCUCAAAGAACCAUCAAAAAUAAGGAAAAUAUAAAUAAUGUCAUUUUAUAUUUCUCCUUUUUUCAGUUCUAGUCUCUGGAUAACACCUCUUACUGGUGAUUGCCUUCGUUUUGUAGGUCUAGCUCUUCUAAUUCUAAUUGAAUGAGAGAGUGUAUAUAAAGAGCUUAGAACAAUCUUCACCCCUGGUAUGUGCUCGAAAAAUGGCAACUAUUGUUCAUUAUACAAAUAAUUUAUAGAAAUCAAGGCUUCUGGUAAGGCAGAGCCAUGGAUAAUUUAAAGGUUUUAGCUUAAUCAAUUUGAAAAAAUGAGAAUUAGAAAAAUCUUUGGGAGUAUUUACUAAAAAUAUAACUUCAAUAAUUUGCUGUAGUCAUUCUAACUCAACAAUGUUUAAAUCUUUUGUAUCUUUUUAAUAAAAGUUUUAAUAUGCCUAAAGGAAAGCUACUUGUGUUACAGUUAGAUAUUUAACCUAAACACUUUCAUUUCCAUUAUCUGGCAUACUGAAACUGCAAACUCAUUGUCAUAGUGAGAUGUUUCAACAAUGUUUAUAUCGUGUAAACAGAGGACCAUGACAGAGCAAGUUAUUUUGAAACAACUUAUUAAUAUGUGAACAUCAAAGUGCUUAGUAUGAAAAAAAUAACCACUGGAAGCAUGGCUUUGAAAGAACAAUAACCGGUUGACUUUGUCUUAGGUAUCUAUUGCUGUACAACAAAUUACUGUAAUCAUAGCAGGUCAAAGUAACGAU
Equus caballus (horse) is the source of this 2611-nucleotide long non-coding RNA. The record is from Ensembl. NCBI's taxonomy places the organism in Eukaryota, Metazoa, Chordata, Mammalia, Perissodactyla, Equidae.